CUGCAAACAUCAACAACUCCCUAUUGCCGUACCGUGUCGCACGUGACUCCACGAAGAACGGAGUGCCAGGACAUCGAGUGCACUCGUCUCGUUUUGUGUUCUCUAGCUCUUUUUUUUUACUGUUUCUUCUUUGGGCGCUCUCCGAGUCGCUUGUCUCUCGCUCCUCUCUGUCCGUUGCACCCGCCACCGGCCAGGGAUCACCGGGUGCAAGCACCAAGGAAGCCGCCGACACCCGCGCGCUGGCAGACACUCGAUAUUGUCUCCUCCUCGACUCACCAGGGUAGGAACUCUACGCAUAGCAUUAGCAUGUAGAAACGCAAGCCCAACCACGGACCGCUGCUCUUCUCUUUUUAGUCGUCCCGUUUAGCCGUUACUGUCGCAUGUGUGCCGGUCAUUCCCUCGCGCCGUUCAUCACCUUACACGCUUCUGCGCGUACCUGUCUCUAAGGUCGGGCACGACUCGAAGAGCACAAAAAACAACAACCACGACAAUGGCAGGCUUAGACGUUGCCUGGAUCCCGUUUACGGUGAUGUACUUGCUGUACCUCAUCCCACCGACCCUGAUGGAGGUAUACUCGUACUACAGUCGUGGCGGUCUCGUCCGCUACGAGGAUCUCAAGUACGAUGAUAGCUUCUGUCCACAGUACCAAUGGAACCGCGACACGGAGGUGUACUACAAGCGCUUCCUCGACCGCCCGACUAGCGAGGCGGGCAAGGCGUUUUUUUCGUGGCUGGACUGGAGUUCGGAGUCCUACGACCGUACCAUUUACAUCCUGCGUCGAAACUUAGCAAAGCAGGACGGCGAGGUGAGUCCGUGGUGGCGGUACGUUUACGGCCCCUUCAUCUUCAACUGGCCCAAGAAGACCUGGCUGCGCGGCGACGAUGCCGCGUGCCGGAAGGCGCCGGCGUGGGGUGUGGGCGGCGAGGCGCGUGCCCGCAAAGAAUACGAGGAGGCUAAGGCAAAGGGCUUCAACAAGAACUACCAUUACCAGAUUAUGCGCAAGAUACGCCGUGAGCAGGCGCUGAAGGCGGCACAGGUGAAGGCGGCGAUUGAGUGAAGAGGACGGGGGACAAGCCGAACAUGUGAUUGCUCGACCGUCUUCAUGAUCGGAUUCUGUGUUUCUCUUUCUUGUCGCAUGUAUGUGCUGUUGCCCUCCCCGAUGCGAACGCUGGGUUUGUCCUCUCUUCGUGGUUUGUUUUCAAGAGUGAGGGUAUGUGUGUAGUGGAGCUGUUGUGCUCGUGCUUGAGCGUCGGCUCCUUCAUAGCAUCUGUUGUCGUUUUGUGAUCGGCGCCUCUGGGACGCUGUAGCAUCCUGUUCCAGGCCUUCUCCGUGUGCUUUAUUUGCAUUCCUCUCUCUGUUCGUGGACGCUUGCUAGUUUUGUUCAUGCGUGUGCGCGCGCGCAACUGUGGUGGACAAUGCGCGCCCGACGACAUCCCCACCCCCUCCAUGUUAUUCUGCCUGCCAAGAGACGAAAU
Molecule: unclassified non-coding RNA, 1475 nt
Filed under: Leishmania donovani
Lineage: Eukaryota; Euglenozoa; Kinetoplastea; Trypanosomatida; Trypanosomatidae
Description: gene:LdHU3.32.1490(CDS-product:hypothetical_prote in_conserved)
Source: RNAcentral